Molecule: ribosomal RNA, 2306 nt
Filed under: uncultured Aminicenantes bacterium
Lineage: Bacteria; Candidatus Aminicenantota
Description: bacterial LSU rRNA
Rfam family: Bacterial large subunit ribosomal RNA
Source: RNAcentral
UAAACUUUAUGGUCAAGUUAUUAAGAGCAUACGGGGGAUGCCUUGGCGCAGGCAGGCGAUGAAGGACGUGGCCAGCUGCGAAAAGCUCCGGUGAGCCGUUAAACAGGCUUUGACCCGGAGAUGUCCGAAUGGGGAAACCCGUUUAGGCAAACCCUAAAUAUCCCGGUCUGAAUCCAUAGGGCCGGGAAGCGAACCCGGGGAAGUGAACCAUCUCAGUACCCGGAGGAAAAGAAAACAACCGUGAUUCCCUUAGUAGCGGCGAGCGAACGGGGAACAGCCCAAACCGUGUCCAUGUAAGCUCGAGUGCGUUGUGGACGCGGGGUCGCGGGGCUCUACGCGCCUCAACUCGAUGAGGCGGCGGAGUUACAAMAGACCGAYCYAGCCGAACGCUCUGGAAAGAGCGAUCACAGAAGGUGAUAAUCCUGUAGGCAAAAGGCCCGGUCUCUCCGGUGGAGUUCCCAAGUACCACGGGACACGUGAAAUCCUGUGGGAAUUCAGGGGGACCAUCCCCUAAGGCUAAACACUCGCCUGCGACCGAUAGUGAACUAGUACCGUGAGGGAAAGGUGAAAAGACCCCCUGUGAGGGGUGUGAAAAGUACCUGAAACCGUAUGCUUACAAGCAGUUGGAGCCCUGGGCAACCGGGGUGACAGCGUGCCUUUUGCUUAAUGAGCCGGCUAGUCAUUUUAUGUGGCAAGGUUAACCGUUUCAAACGGGGAGCCGCAGCGAAAGCGAGUCUGAAUAGGGCGAUUGAGUCGCAUGAAAUGGACGCGAAGGUGGGUGAUCUACCCUUGGCCAGGUUGAACUCUGGGUAACACCAGAGGGAGGACCGAACCGGUGUUGGUUGAAAACAGCUCGGAUGAGCUGAGGGUAGGGGUGAAAGGCUAAUCAAACCCACGGAUAGCUCGUUCUCUCCGAAAUAGCUUUAGGGCUAGCCUCGGACGAAUGGCAUGGGAGGUAGAGCACUGGAUGGCCUAGGGGUUCGAAAGUUCUUCCAAAUCCAACCAAACUCCGAAUUCCCAUGACCAGUAUCCGGGAGUCAGACUACGGGGGCUAAGCUCCGUGGUCGAAAGGGAAACAGCCCAGACCGUCAGCUAAGGUCCCUCAGUAUAUGCUCAGUGGGCAAGGAUGUGAGGAUACGAAGACAACCAGGAGGUUGGCUUAGAAGCAGCCAUCCUUUAAAGAAAGCGUAACAGCUCACUGGUCAAGCGUUCUUGCGCCGACAAUGUAACGGGGCUUAAGCAUAUCACCGAAGCUACGGAAUGGUCAUGCCUUCGGGCGUGAUCUUUGGUAGGAGAGCAUUCUGACGAGGCCGAAGCCGCGCUGCGAGGCGCGGUGGACUUUUCAGAAGAGACCCUGCCGGCAUGAGUAGCGAUAACGGCUGUAGAAACCAGCCGCGCCGAAAAUCUAAGGUUUCCUGGGGAAGGUCAGUCCGCCCAGGGUUAGUCGGAUCCUAAGGUGAGGCCGAAAGGCGUAGCCGAUGGACAGCAGGUCAACAUUCCUGCACCACCUGAGAAGCGUUACCACCAAUGGGGAGACGCAGGAGGGGUAGAUAUACGCACGUUUGGAUGUGUGCGGUCGCCUAGUAGAGGGAGGUUCCAGGCAAAUCCGGAGCCUCAUUCAACCUUGAGUAUGGCGAGGAAGCUUGGCUUCGGCCUUGUGAACUUAUUGACCCCAAACUGUCGAGAAAAUCCUCUAGGGAGUUUUUCAGGUGUCCGUACCGUAAACCGACACAGGUAGAUGAGGAGAGAAUCCUAAGGCGCACGUAUGAGCCCUCUCAAAGGAACUCGGCAAUCUAACCUCGUAACUUCGGGAAAAGAGGUACCUCGGUAGGGUAAACGGGCCUGCGCCCGCGAGCCCGAGGAGGCUGCAAAAAAAUGGCUCUGGCGACUGUUUAGCAAAAACACAGGACUCUGCAAAGUCAUAAAAACGACGUAUAGGGUCUGACGCCUGCCCGGUGCUGGAAGGUUAAGGGGAGAGGUCAGCGCAAGCGAAGCUUUGAACCGAAGCCCCAGUAAACGGCGGCCGUAACUAUAACGGUCCUAAGGUAGCGAAAUUCCUUGUCGGGUAAGUUCCGACCCGCACGAAAGGCGUAACGACUAGAGCGCUGUCUCUGAGAGGGGUACGGCGAAAUUGUGGUUCCGGUGAAGACGCCGGAUACCUGCCGCUGGACGGAAAGACCCCGGCACCUUAACUGCAUCCUAGCAUUGGAUUUUGGGAUCGCACGCGCAGCAUAGGUGGGAGACUUUGAAGCCGGRCCCCCGGGUUCGGUGGAGUCAUCGGUGAGAUACCACUCUUGCGAUUCUGA